ACACGAUAUGCGGUUCACAGCAGGCAUCUAACGUGAACGAAAUGUGAAGGAGAAGGAUGGGGAUGCGUCUGAUUAGCUUGUUGGCGGGGUAACGGCCCACCAAGGCGACGAUCACUAGGGGUUCUGAGAGGAAGGUCCCCCACAUUGGAACUGAGACACGGUCCAAACUCCUACGGGAGGCAGCAGUGAGGAAUAUUGGUCAAUGGACGAGAGUCUGAACCAGCCAAGUAGCGUGCAGGAUGACGGCCCUAUGGGUUGUAAACUGCUUUUAUAGGGGGAUAAAGUGUGCCACGUGUGGCAUAUUGCAGGUACCCUAUGAAUAAGGACCGGCUAAUUCCGUGCCAGCAGCCGCGGUAAUACGGAAGGUCCAGGCGUUAUCCGGANUUUAUUGGGUUUAAAGGGAGCGUAGGCCGUUUGGUAAGUGUGUUGUGAAAUGUCCGGGGCUCAACCCUGGGCAUUGCAGCGCGAACUGCCAGACUUGAGUGCGCAGGAAGUAGGCGGAAUUCGUCGUGUAGCGGUGAAAUGCUUAGAUAUGACGAAGAACUCCGAUUGCGAAGGCAG
This 561-nucleotide ribosomal RNA is filed under the name uncultured Bacteroidales bacterium. RNAcentral's name for it is "bacterial SSU rRNA". It matches the Rfam family "Bacterial small subunit ribosomal RNA", at positions 166 to 724 of the family's 1533-position model. Lineage: Bacteria; Pseudomonadati; Bacteroidota; Bacteroidia; Bacteroidales. The record is from RNAcentral.